Molecule: long non-coding RNA, 2566 nt
Organism: Eurytemora carolleeae
Lineage: Eukaryota; Metazoa; Arthropoda; Copepoda; Calanoida; Temoridae
Exons: 7
Source: RefSeq, a predicted model, not a curated record
UUCUUAUAGUUGAAAUUAUUACAUUGAUAAACAUGUGAAAUAUAAGUCAAUAAUAAUGAGUGAUGAACCGGCUAAUUUACAGACCUGUACGUUUGGAGGUGGUGAUGAAUCCUCACUUACUGCUCUUGAGGCAGCGCAGAGAUUUACGAAUUUAUAUUUAUCCAAGGAUCUGACCUCAAUAAGAGUACAAGUUCCAGAGGAGAAAAUUAACUAUGGACUUUCUACUGAUGUUCCAGCAGGUUUGAGUGAAAGUGAAUGGAAUGCUAAAGCUGAUGAAAUACAAGAUGUAAAGGAUAAAGAAGGAUUUUAAAAGUACUGGUCUCAAUACCAAGGCGGAGCCAGUGAGUUGGAGAUAUGGAAUUACAUUUGCAAGAUUCCGUUGUCAAUCCCAUUAGGCCUCUUCCACAAUUUUAACCUUCGCAUGUUUCGACUUUUUACAGCAGGGUGAUCAAAUUGAUAAAGACUGCUUUGGGGAGAAAAUGAAGCAUGAAUUGCAUGAUGAGCCGGAUCCUGAUGAUGGAAGUAGUGAUGAUGAAAGAGAAGAGAAUUUAAGACCAACAAUUUUAUGUUAUUUCAACAUAAUGGAUGUGGACAGGGGAGAAGUGAAUUGGAUGGAUGGGGAUGGGGAAAGGAGGAAAGCCACCAAGAAGUUAAUGUGUAGGGGAGUGGUAUUAUUUGUAGAAAAUUUAUACUUACGUCUUUAUAGUCCUCUAAAUGUAGUAUAACUUAACUUGCUAUUAUUUCUUUCUUAUAACUAAUAUAUUUGUUUACUAAGCUACUGCUAAAUUCAUUGAUAUUUUUAUUUUCUUCUGAAAAUAGUUUGAAUCAUGACUGUGAUAAUGAAAUCAAUAAGAUUAUCAGAUAUUUUCUACUUUGAUGUUUGUUUUCUCUCUGCCAGUGAUGGUUCGUCUUUCUAAAUUUCUGAAGAGGCUUGAGGGCUUGCAUGAUGAUACAGAAACCAGGGGGAUAUAUAUUUCCUGUCUAACCCCUAAUGUCAAAGGAUGUUAUGAUGAAAAGGGGAAUUAUAUAACCCCAAUCUUUAAUCUACAGAUGAAGGAAAUGUUUUCUGAGUUGUCAAAGGAACUUGAGAUAAAGACCAAGCAAAAGAAUUUGGUGGAGUUCUGGGGUGCUGAGGAUAUCUGUAGGGAGAUGAGAGUUCCUUUAAGAAUGGACUAUUUCUACACUGUGCUUCCAUGGUUCUUAGCAGGAUAUCAGAACAGUUUGGGAGGGUGAUGUUGGAGGAGGUCGGUGCCGGGUCCUCAAUGUGCAGAGAAAAAUCAAUACCGGGAUAGCAAAACAGGAGGGAGGGCGGAGACUGGAUUAGUCAGAGCUGGGAUUCAACAACGGAAAGAAGAGUAUUAAAAUGGUUGACAGAGCGUCAAAAAACUUGAUUUUUUUUUUAAGGUAAAAUAUUGUUUAGAAAGAACAAAUUUUUUCGUUUAAACUUAUAAGGAAAGGUUUUUGUUCGGGAUCGAUUUACAAUAUCAGCCUUGAUUGGACGAUAUUUCCGCAUCGACCAAUAAGGAUUAAGAGGCUGGGAAAUACAACUAGGAGUGGAAACUUAUUAGCUUAGUAAAUUAGAGAACCCGGUUUCGUUUGAUUUUUUCUUAAAUUACAAACACAUGAACGAUUUCAACUAUUGAACAUUUAAAUCUAGGCGAAAACAAGACAGAUUUAAAAAUUAUUAAUUUUUAGCACGAAAACGGAGAGCAUAACUCGAGGUUCGAUAUCUUGCUUGUUUUAAGUACAAAUCGUUAAAACGAUUUAACUUAGAUAGGUGACAGUUCAUCUACCUUUAUAUUAAUAACCAAUAAUUUUUUUAUAUUCAAUUCAUUAGAGAGGGAGAGAAAUGAACUUAAAACUUUCAUUCAACAUUAGUUGUCCAAAAUAACUCUUUAAUAUCAAUCAGUUUGAACUAAUUAUAAAGGAAAAUAUUUUUAAACUAUUCACUGACUGUCCUGUUUUCGGGGACACCCUGUAAUUUUCAUGUUGUCACCUGAAUAAAAAAACUUUGUUUUUUUUAUUCAGGCUUAAAUGUCAUUGGGCAAAUGUAGCAGACACUCAAUAAGACUAGCCGAUGCCACAUGGUUAAAGCGGUCAGACUUUAGCUGGAAUUUAUGUUGAAUUGGAGUAAAACUUCGGAGGUCUGGAGUUCUUUAUGUUGAAGUUGGAGUAAAAACUCUAGAGAUCUAGAGUACUCUAUGUAGAGGUUGGAAUAGAACUCUGAACAUCUGGAGUUCUUAAGGUUGAGGUUGGAGUAGAACUCCGAACAUUUGGAGUUCAUAAGAUUGAGGUUGGAGUAGAAUUCUGAAGAUUUGGAUUUAUGUUGACUGUUGAGGAUGUAGUAGAAGGGAUGUCCUAAAUAAAAAAUAUAUGUUAUAUCCUUUAUUUUGUUACACUAAUUUUUAACAAAUAACUGGAGCUACCAGUCCCCUAUCAAAUGUAAUUUUAUAAGCAUUGUUUUAAUGCUUAUAAAAUUAUAUUUGACAUUGACACAAGGAGGCAUAUUGCUUCAUUAAUUAUUAUUUUUAUUUUAAAUUCUGCUAAACUUGUAUCAAAGUGUGAA